AGGGUCCGUCAAGGUGGAUGUCCUUGCGUACAUGAAGGCGAUGAAGGACGUAAGUGAACGUAAACUAGGGUAAGCUCACAAAAAGCAUUGACCCCUAGGUCUCCGAAUGGGGAAACCCGGCUGUGGAAGACACAGUCAUCAUUAAGUGAAUACAUAGCUUAAUGAAGCAAGACCCUGUGAACUGAAACAUCUAAGGUACC
This 200-nucleotide ribosomal RNA is filed under the name chlamydia-associated clinical sample 494-S. Its description in RNAcentral is "partial 23S ribosomal RNA". It matches the Rfam family "Bacterial large subunit ribosomal RNA", at positions 23 to 211 of the family's 2925-position model. The record is from RNAcentral.